AUGCAAGUCGAGCGCACCUUCGGGUGAGCGGCGGACGGGUGAGUAACGCGUGGGAACGUGCCCUUUGGUACGGGAUAACUGAGGGAAACUUCAGCUAAUACCGUAUGUGCCCUACGGGGGAAAGAUUUAUCGCCAUUGGAGCGGCCCGCGUUGGAUUAGGUAGUUGGUGAGGUAAAGGCUCACCAAGCCUACGAUCCAUAGCUGGUCUGAGAGGAUGAUCAGCCACACUGGGACUGAGACACGGCCCAGACUCCUACGGGAGGCAGCAGUAGGGAAUCUUGCGCAAUGGGCGAAAGCCUGACGCAGCCAUGCCGCGUGAAUGAUGAAGGUCUUAGGAUUGUAAAAUUCUUUCACCGGGGAAGAUAAUGACGGUACCCGGAGAAGAAGCCCCGGCUAACUUCGUGCCGGCAGCCGCGGUAAUACGAAGGGGGCUAGCGUUGCUCGGAAUUACUGGGCGUAAAGGGCGCGUAGGCGGACAGUUUAGUCAGAGGUGAAAGCCCAGGGCUCAACCUUGGAAUUGCCUUUGAUACUGGCUGUCUUGAGUUCGGGAGAGGUGAGUGGAAUGCCGAGUGUAGAGGCGAAAUUCGUAGAUAUUCGGCGGAACACCAGUGGCGAAGGCGACUCACUGGCCCGAUACUGACGCUGAGGCGCGAAGCGUGGGGAGCAAACAGG
RNAcentral lists this ribosomal RNA (672 nucleotides) under uncultured Alphaproteobacteria bacterium. RNAcentral describes it as "bacterial SSU rRNA". It matches the Rfam family "Bacterial small subunit ribosomal RNA", at positions 55 to 776 of the family's 1533-position model. Lineage: Bacteria; Pseudomonadati; Pseudomonadota; Alphaproteobacteria. The record is from RNAcentral.